CUCAGCCCCAAGACUCCUUGGUUCUUAAGGAGGAACAAAAUGGCCCUACUACCUGAAGCUUUCAUUCAGCUUUCCUUGUGUGUCUGGAGUCUUCUACCCUCCAGUGAUUGAGAGAGAGAACCCCUCUGUUACUCAGACCUAUUUUGUGGCACUUGUCCAUGCUGUUUGUGAUACCUAAUGCUGUGAAUCAUUGAAAUUCAUGCUGUGACUUGGGUAGACCUAGCUGAAGAGAAACCUGAACACUAACCCUUGUGGAAUGAUAUCUUGGUAGACUUGCCUGUGGUCUCGGAACCAGAGGAUACCUUUUCAUUCAUUUAUUUAUCAAAUACUGAAGCCAGCAGGUGCAAGGGUCUGUGCUAAACACGGAGAAGAAAUGAUAAGCAAAAGUAUAAUCCCUGCUGUAUGGAGGUUACAGUUUGGAGGUGGGUUUUAAAGAUGAUACUUUGCUUCAAAAAAUGGGUGGAGAAAGUAAUUAUCAUGACUUUUUAAUGCUUGUAUGCAGGACUAACACCACCAGGGCAAAGCAAAUCUCAAGCCCUAUGUAAGUUGGAGGGCAUCAGUUAAUUACCUGCUCAGAAGCUUAUAGUGGAUGAGUUAGACUUCAUGUGAUCUCAUGUAAAUUUAAAAAAUGUCCCUUCCUCAAAGGUGGGGAGUCUUCUUGCUGCAUUAGGUCAACUGAGUAAGAUGAUCAGGUUGAACUGAGCCAUGGUUGAAGGGAGAUUUUCUUCUCUGCAGAUCUGAGAAAGUACCAUAAGCUUCAAUAGUCUAUUCUUAGACUAUUCUUAGACUAUCCCUACUUUCCUGUGUGUGGAGAAUUCAAUACCACAUCAGAGCAAUAUUUGUGGAAUGAACAAAUUAAUGAUAAUUAUGAUGAAUUUUAAUGUAUAAUAGAGGUAAUGGAUGACAUCAAGAUUUUAAGAAGAGUAUAUAAGGUUUACUUCCCUUUGUAGAGAACCCAAAGACCAUUAAAGUCUUUGCUAAGGGAUUUCCAGCUUUAUUAUUCAUACUUCUCCCAUCCAUUGACAUGCUUAGCAAUAUAUAGAGAGUGACAUUCAACAAGCAUUUCAUAAUAAAAACAAUAGUCUUGCUGGACUUGAAUUGUAUCAUACUUUUCUCUUUAUUUUUUACUUCUUAUAGUUUUCUUUCAGUUUAAAAGAUAAUGUCACAAGACAUUUAUAUGUCCUAUGCUAUGUGAUUCAUACAUAGGAUAGGAUAUAUGUACUGAUGUUAUAACAUAGUUAUCCAUAUAUCACAGCUCUGUGGAGAAGACAGUGCACCUGCAUCAAAAUUUUGUCACAUGAAAUAGAAGGAAAAUAUUGAACUGUUUCUAAUUAUGUGGCUGCGAUCCAUCUCAUGACCUGGAGAACCU
RNAcentral lists this long non-coding RNA (1369 nucleotides) under Marmota monax (woodchuck). The record is from RNAcentral. Lineage: Eukaryota; Metazoa; Chordata; Mammalia; Rodentia; Sciuridae.